GGGGACGUAGUUUAUAUAAAAACAUUUAAUUUGCAUUUAAAAAAAAUUUUAUUAAUCUUCCUUU
RNAcentral lists this transfer RNA (64 nucleotides) under Trogium pulsatorium. Its description in RNAcentral is "tRNA-Ala". Lineage: Eukaryota; Metazoa; Arthropoda; Insecta; Psocodea; Trogiidae. The record is from RNAcentral.